Molecule: transfer RNA, 74 nt
Filed under: Ixodes scapularis (black-legged tick)
Lineage: Eukaryota; Metazoa; Arthropoda; Arachnida; Ixodida; Ixodidae
Rfam family: tRNA
About the family: Transfer RNA (tRNA) molecules are approximately 80 nucleotides in length. Their secondary structure includes four short double-helical elements and three loops (D, anti-codon, and T loops). Further hydrogen bonds mediate the characteristic L-shaped molecular structure. tRNAs have two regions of fundamental functional importance: the anti-codon, which is responsible for specific mRNA codon recognition, and the 3' end, to which the tRNAs corresponding amino acid is attached (by aminoacyl-tRNA synthetases). tRNAs cope with the degeneracy of the genetic code in two manners: having more than one tRNA (with a specific anti-codon) for a particular amino acid; and 'wobble' base-pairing, i.e. permitting non-standard base-pairing at the 3rd anti-codon position.
Source: Rfam by way of RNAcentral
CCCUGGUUAGCUCAGUUGGCAGAGCGCUUCACUUGUAAUGGGAGAGCUUCCGGGUUCGAUACCCGGACCAGACG